Molecule: ribosomal RNA, 463 nt
Filed under: Actenicerus kiashianus
Lineage: Eukaryota; Metazoa; Arthropoda; Insecta; Coleoptera; Elateridae
Description: partial 16S ribosomal RNA
Rfam family: Archaeal large subunit ribosomal RNA
Source: RNAcentral
UAAAUUGCCGCGGUAUUUUGACCGUGCAAAGGUAGCAUAAUAAUUAGUUUUUUUAUUGAAAGCUGGAAUGAAUGAUUGGACGAGAAAUUUUCUGUCUCAUUUGGAAUUAUUUUUAAAUUUAACUUCUAAGUUAAAAGGCUUAGAUUUUAUUCAAAGACGAGAAGACCCUAUAGAGUUUGAUAGUUUCUUUUAUAGAAAGUUUUUGGUUAUUAAUUUUUUCUAUUUUUGAUGUUAUUUAGUUGGGGUGACUUGAAGAUUAAUUAAACUCUUCUAUUAUUUUAUCAUUGAUUUAUGAUUAUUGAAUCUAGUUUUUUUAAAUUUAAAAUUAAUUACCUUAGGGAUAACAGCGUAAUUUCUUUUUAGAGUUCUCAUUGAAAAGGAAGUUUGCGACCUCGAUGUUGGAUUAAAAUUUAUUUUUGGUGUAGCAGCUGAAAUAUUGGGUCUGUUCGACCUUUAAAAUUUU